RNAcentral lists this ribosomal RNA (581 nucleotides) under Phenoliferia glacialis. RNAcentral describes it as "eukaryotic LSU rRNA". The stretch from base 167 to 320 matches the Rfam family "5.8S ribosomal RNA". Lineage: Eukaryota; Fungi; Basidiomycota; Microbotryomycetes; Kriegeriales; Kriegeriaceae. The record is from RNAcentral.
GCGGAAGGAUCAUUAGUGAAUUAUAGGGCGUCUACUUGUAGAGCCUGACCUCCACUUCUAACACUGUGCACUUGAUGGCGAGGUAAUGGAACUUUCGAGUGAAACUACCUUGCGGCUUCAUUUUAAACAUUAGUCAAAGUAUGUAAUGAAAUAAAAAACAAAAAAAAACUUUCAACAACGGAUCUCUUGGCUCUCGCAUCGAUGAAGAACGCAGCGAAAUGUGAUAAGUAAUGUGAAUUGCAGAAUUCAGUGAAUCAUCGAAUCUUUGAACGCACCUUGCGCUCCCUGGUAUUCCGGGGAGCAUGCCUGUUUGAGUGUCAUGAACUCUUCAACCCACCAGUUUCUAGUAGACUGCGUUGGUGUUUGGAUUUUGAGCGUUGCUAGUCUGACUAGCUCGUUCGUAAUAUAUUAGCAUCUCUAAUUCGAAUUCGGAUUGACUCAGUGUAAUAGACUAUUCGCUGAGGACACUUUUAUUAGUGGCCGUACUAGAACCAGUAGACGCUUCCAACUAUUGUAGUCAACUUUAAUUUAGACCUCAGAUCAGGCAGGAUUACCCGCUGAACUUAAGCAUAUCAAUAAGC